CGUUUUCGAAGUAAUGCCUGAAUUAUGACUGUGCUAGAAAGAUAGCAUCCAGGCUCCCAAGAACUGCACAGCAGGCCAGCACAAACCAAGGAAUCUAAACUACCACAGGCAAAUCACCACAGGCAAACAACUCAGAAAAUGCAAACAGCUGCGUUUCCUGAGUUUGCAUCAGGUCUGCCGUCCAGCGAGUCUGUUCCCACCCACUUUGUGUGUUCCUAUCUCGGAAAUUCUACAGGUUUGCUGAGGGCAAAUGAGAGGGCUAUGAAGGCCUCCAGCAAGGUUUUGCGGUUUGGGCACUUUUUAUUUGUUUCUCAAUCUAGAAGGGACCUUGAAGACUCAGGAGCAGAAUUGCCCUGUCUUACACAGGAUACGCCAGGGCCGGAAGACUUGGAUGGUUCUGACUCAGGCAGUGGUGAGAUUAGAAAUGAGGUCAUUUGUGAAUUCCUGGCUGACAAGAAGAAUGUUCUGCACCUGUGUUCUGUCCUCAUUGGAGAAGAGAAGGAUCUGACUACCUUAGUGGCCCUCUGGAGUAGUUAAAUGACACAAUAUAGAAGACAGAAAAAUGUUAUUGCUCAGAUUUUGACCAAUG
RNAcentral lists this long non-coding RNA (589 nucleotides) under Fukomys damarensis (Damara mole-rat). RNAcentral describes it as "lncRNA (ENSFDAG00000022757.1)". Lineage: Eukaryota; Metazoa; Chordata; Mammalia; Rodentia; Bathyergidae. The record is from RNAcentral.